Molecule: transfer RNA, 90 nt
Filed under: Pseudomonadota bacterium
Lineage: Bacteria; Pseudomonadati; Pseudomonadota
Also listed under: 1 other name
Description: Proteobacteria bacterium tRNA-Ser
Rfam family: tRNA
About the family: Transfer RNA (tRNA) molecules are approximately 80 nucleotides in length. Their secondary structure includes four short double-helical elements and three loops (D, anti-codon, and T loops). Further hydrogen bonds mediate the characteristic L-shaped molecular structure. tRNAs have two regions of fundamental functional importance: the anti-codon, which is responsible for specific mRNA codon recognition, and the 3' end, to which the tRNAs corresponding amino acid is attached (by aminoacyl-tRNA synthetases). tRNAs cope with the degeneracy of the genetic code in two manners: having more than one tRNA (with a specific anti-codon) for a particular amino acid; and 'wobble' base-pairing, i.e. permitting non-standard base-pairing at the 3rd anti-codon position.
Source: RNAcentral
GGAGAGGUGGCCGAGUGGUUUAAGGCGCCCGCUUGGAAAGCGUGUUCACAAGCAAUUGUGACGGGGGUUCGAAUCCCUUCCUCUCCUCCA